RNAcentral lists this ribosomal RNA (1383 nucleotides) under uncultured Synergistota bacterium. RNAcentral describes it as "bacterial SSU rRNA". It matches the Rfam family "Bacterial small subunit ribosomal RNA". The record is from RNAcentral. Lineage: Bacteria; Thermotogati; Synergistota.
AGAGUUUGAUCAUGGCUCAGAACGAACGCUGGCGGCGUGCUUAACACAUGCAAGUCAAGGAGAAAGUCUCUUCGGGGGCGAGUAAACUGGCGCACGGGUGAGUAACGCGUGAGGAACCUGCCCAUAUGUCUGGGAUAACCUGCUGAAAAGCGGGCUAAUACUGGAUAUAUUGUUUACCGCAUGGUGGACAAGGAAAGUUGGUGUAAGCUAACGCAUAUGGAUGGUCUCGCGUCUGAUUAGCUAGUUGGUGGGGUAAAGGCUCACCAAGGCGACGAUCAGUAGCCGGUCUGAGAGGGUGGCCGGCCACACUGGGACUGAGACACGGCCCAGACUCCUACGGGAGGCAGCAGUGGGGAAUUUUGCACAAUGGGGGCAACCCUGAUGCAGCGACGCCGCGUGAACGAGGAAGGCCUUCGGGUCGUAAAGUUCUUUCGACUGGGAAGAAAUGUUAUACUACUAACUGCGUAUAAUUUGACGGUACCUGUAUAAGCAGCCCCGGCUAACUACGUGCCAGCAGCCGCGGUAAUACGUAUGGGACGAGCGUUGUCCGGAAUUACUGGGCGUAAAGGGCGCGUAGGCUGUGCUGCAAGUCAGCUGUGAAAUAUCUGGGCUUAACCUGGAUAUGCGGAUGAGACUGCAGUGCUGGAGUGCUGUAGAGGCAAGUGGAAUUCCCAGUGUAGCGGUGAAAUGCGUAGAUAUUGGGAAGAACACCGGUGGCGAAGGCGACUUGCUGGGCAGCAACUGACGCUGAGGCGCGAAAGCCAGGGGAGCGAACGGGAUUAGAUACCCCGGUAGUCCUGGCCGUAAACGAUGAAUGCUAGGUGUGGGUGUAGAGAUACAUUCGUGCCGGAGUUAACGCGAUAAGCAUUCCGCCUGGGGAGUACGGUCGCAAGAUUGAAACUCAAAGGAAUUGACGGGGGCCCGCACAAGCGGUGGAGCACGUGGUUUAAUUCGACGCAACGCGAAGAACCUUACCAAGACUUGACAUAUGCAUGAAAGUCUAAGAAAUUAGAUCCUCCUUCGGGACAUGUAUACAGGUGAUGCACGGUUGUCGUCAGCUCGUGUCGUGAGAUGUAGGGUUAAGUCCCGAAACGAGCGCAACCCCUAUCCUAUGUUACAAGUGUCUUAGGAAACUGCCUCGGUAAAACGAGGAGGAAGGUGGGGAUGACGUCUGGUCCGCAUAGCCCUUAUGUCCUGGGCUACACACGCGCUACAAUGGCCGAUACAGUAGGGUGCCAAAUCGUAAGAUGGAGCAAAUCCUCAAAGUCGGUCUCAGUUCGAAUUGAGGUCUGAAACUCGACCUCAUGAAGUUGGAUUCGCUAGUAAUCGUAGAUCAGCCAUGCUACGGUGAAUACGUUCUCGGGUCUUGCACACACCCCCGUC